RNAcentral lists this ribosomal RNA (253 nucleotides) under uncultured bacterium. RNAcentral's name for it is "partial 16S ribosomal RNA". It matches the Rfam family "Bacterial small subunit ribosomal RNA", at positions 524 to 776 of the family's 1533-position model. The record is from RNAcentral.
UACAGAGGGUGCGAGCGUUAAUCGGAAUUAUUGGGCGUAAAGGGCGCGUAGGCGGUCUGACAAGUGGAAGGUGAAAUCCCCGCGCUUAACGUGGGAACUGCCUUCCAAACUGUUUGACUUGAGUCCGGGAGAGGUGAGUGGAAUUCCCAGUGUAGCGGUGAAAUGCGUAGAUAUUGGGAGGAACACCAGUGGCGAAGGCGGCUCACUGGACCGGAACUGACGCUGAGGCGCGAAAGCGUGGGGGGCAAACAGG